GAUGAACGCUGGCGGCGUGCCUAAUACAUGCAAGUCGAGCGAACAGAUGAGAAGCUUGCUUCUCUGAUGUUAGCGGCGGACGGGUGAGUAACACGUGGGUAACCUACCUAUAAGACUGGGAUAACUCCGGGAAACCGGGGCUAAUACCGGAUAACAUUUUGAACUGCAUGGUUCGAAAUUGAAAGGCGGCUUCGGCUGUCACUUAUGGAUGGACCCGCGUCGCAUUAGCUAGUUGGUGAGGUAACGGCUCACCAAGGCAACGAUGCGUAGCCGACCUGAGAGGGUGAUCGGCCACACUGGGACUGAGACACGGCCCAGACUCCUACGGGAGGCAGCAGUAGGGAAUCUUCCGCAAUGGACGAAAGUCUGACGGAGCAACGCCGCGUGAGUGAUGAAGGCUUUCGGGUCGUAAAACUCUGUUGUUAGGGAAGAACAAGUGCUAGUUGAAUAAGCUGGCACCUUGACGGUACCUAACCAGAAAGCCACGGCUAACUACGUGCCAGCCGCCGCCGUAA
Molecule: ribosomal RNA, 515 nt
Filed under: uncultured bacterium
Lineage: Bacteria
Description: partial 16S ribosomal RNA
Rfam family: Bacterial small subunit ribosomal RNA
Source: RNAcentral